This 660-nucleotide ribosomal RNA is filed under the name uncultured bacterium. Its description in RNAcentral is "bacterial SSU rRNA". It matches the Rfam family "Bacterial small subunit ribosomal RNA", at positions 94 to 788 of the family's 1533-position model. The record is from RNAcentral.
AGUGGCGGACGGGUGAGUAACGCGUGAGAAUCUGCCUUGGGGUCGGGGACAACCACUGGAAACGGUGGCUAAUACCGGAUAAGCCGAUUGGUGAAAGAUUUAUUGCCCGAAGAGGAGCUCGCGUCUGAUUAGCUAGUUGGUGAGGUAAGAGCUCACCAAGGCAGCGAUCAGUAGCUGGUCUGAGAGGACGAUCAGCCACACUGGGACUGAGACACGGCCCAGACUCCUACGGGAGGCAGCAGUGGGGAAUUUUCCGUAAUGGGCGAAAGCCUGACGGAGCAAGACCGCGUGAGGGAGGAAGGCUCUUGGGUUGUAAACCUCUUUUCUCAGGGAAGAAGCUCUGACGGUACCUGAGGAAUCAGCCUCGGCUAACUCCGUGCCAGCAGCCGCGGUAAUACGGAGGAGGCAAGCGUUAUCCGGAAUUAUUGGGCGUAAAGCGUCCGCAGGUGGCGAUUCAAGUCUGCUGUCAAAGCACGGGGCUUAACUCCGUAAAGGCAGUGGAAACUGAAUAGCUAGAGUGCCGUAGGGGUAGAGGGAAUUCCCGGUGUAGCGGUGAAAUGCGUAGAGAUCGGGAAGAACAUCGGUGGCGAAAGCGCUCUACUGGACGGCAACUGACACUCAGGGACGAAAGCUAGGGGAGCGAAUGGGAUUAGAUACCCC